GACGAACGCUGGCGGCGUGCUUAACACAUGCAAGUCGAACGAAGAGCGAUGGAAGCUUGCUUCUAUCAAUCUUAGUGGCGGACGGGUGAGUAACGCGUAAUCAACCUGCCCUUCAGAGGGGGACAACAGUUGGAAACGACUGCUAAUACCGCAUACGAUCUAAACUCGGCAUCGAGGAUAGAUGAAAGGUGGCCUCUACAUGUAAGCUAUCACUGAAGGAGGGGAUUGCGUCUGAUUAGCUAGUUGGAGGGGUAACGGCCCACCAAGGCGAUGAUCAGUAGCCGGUCUGAGAGGAUGAACGGCCACAUUGGGACUGAGACACGGCCCAGACUCCUACGGGAGGCAGCAGUGGGGAAUCUUCCGCAAUGGACGAAAGUCUGACGGAGCAACGCCGCGUGAGUGAUGACGGCCUUCGGGUUGUAAAGCUCUGUUAAUCGGGACGAAAGGCCUUCUUGCGAAUAGUGAGAAGGAUUGACGGUACCGGAAUAGAAAGCCACGGCUAACUACGUG
RNAcentral lists this ribosomal RNA (510 nucleotides) under uncultured bacterium. RNAcentral's name for it is "partial 16S ribosomal RNA". It matches the Rfam family "Bacterial small subunit ribosomal RNA", at positions 28 to 507 of the family's 1533-position model. The record is from RNAcentral.